UGCUUGUUAGCUCAGUUGGAUAGAGCAGUCAGCUCAUAACUGAUAGGUCACAGGUUCAACUCCUGUACAAGCCA
This 74-nucleotide transfer RNA is filed under the name Oleiphilus messinensis. It matches the Rfam family "tRNA". From Rfam's summary of the family: Transfer RNA (tRNA) molecules are approximately 80 nucleotides in length. Their secondary structure includes four short double-helical elements and three loops (D, anti-codon, and T loops). Further hydrogen bonds mediate the characteristic L-shaped molecular structure. tRNAs have two regions of fundamental functional importance: the anti-codon, which is responsible for specific mRNA codon recognition, and the 3' end, to which the tRNAs corresponding amino acid is attached (by aminoacyl-tRNA synthetases). tRNAs cope with the degeneracy of the genetic code in two manners: having more than one tRNA (with a specific anti-codon) for a particular amino acid; and 'wobble' base-pairing, i.e. permitting non-standard base-pairing at the 3rd anti-codon position. The record is from Rfam by way of RNAcentral. RNAcentral also lists the same sequence under 1 other name. Lineage: Bacteria; Pseudomonadati; Pseudomonadota; Gammaproteobacteria; Oceanospirillales; Oleiphilaceae.